UUAAGUUCAGCGGUAGUCCUACCUGAUUUGAGGUCAAAUUUGUCAAAUUUAUAUGUUAGAAGCGGUACAAUCUGCAUACCAAAGGCAUAGAUAACUUAUCACACCUAAUGGUUCUGCUCAGAUACCACUAAUGCAUUUCAGGGGAGCCGACCUCAUUCAGAGGCCUGCAAAAACAACCCCCACAUCCAAGCCACACCAGA
This 200-nucleotide unclassified non-coding RNA is filed under the name Inocybe sp. RNAcentral describes it as "partial internal transcribed spacer 2". Lineage: Eukaryota; Fungi; Basidiomycota; Agaricomycetes; Agaricales; Inocybaceae. The record is from RNAcentral.